This 497-nucleotide ribosomal RNA is filed under the name Dendrelaphis fuliginosus. Its description in RNAcentral is "partial 16S ribosomal RNA". It matches the Rfam family "Bacterial large subunit ribosomal RNA", at positions 1855 to 2620 of the family's 2925-position model. Lineage: Eukaryota; Metazoa; Chordata; Lepidosauria; Squamata; Colubridae. The record is from RNAcentral.
ACGCCUGCCCAGUGAACAAUUAAACGGCCGCGGUACCCUAACCGUGCAAAGGUAGCAUAAUCAUUUGUCUACUAAUUAUAGACCUGUAUGAAAGGCAAAAUGAGGGUCUAACUGUCUCUUAUAGUACAUCAAUUAAACUGAUCUCCUAGUAAAAAAGCUAAGAUUAAAACAUAAGACCAGAAGACCCUGUGAAGCUUAAACUAAACUAUUAAAACUAAUAAUAGCUACUUUCGGUUGGGGCGACCUUGGAAAAAAAAAGAACUUCCAAUAACAUAUUAACCAUAAAUAUAGGCCUACAUGCCACAUUACGACCCAGCAAAGCUGAUAAUCGAAACAAGUUACUCCAGGGAUAACAGCGCAAUCUUCUUCAAGAGCCCAUAUCAAAAAGAAGGUUUACGACCUCGAUGUUGGAUCAGGACAUCCUAAUGGUGCAGAAGCUAUUAAGGGUUCGUUUGUUCAACGAUUAAUAGUCCUACGUGAUCUGAGUUCAGACCGGA